RNAcentral lists this ribosomal RNA (604 nucleotides) under Gliomastix tumulicola. RNAcentral's name for it is "eukaryotic LSU rRNA". It matches the Rfam family "Eukaryotic large subunit ribosomal RNA", at positions 38 to 667 of the family's 3401-position model. Lineage: Eukaryota; Fungi; Ascomycota; Sordariomycetes; Hypocreales; Bionectriaceae. The record is from RNAcentral.
GCAUAUCAAUAAGCGGAGGAAAAGAAACCAACAGGGAUUGCCUCAGUAACGGCGAGUGAAGCGGCAACAGCUCAAAUUUGAAAUCUGGCCUCUGGCCCGAGUUGUAAUUUGCAGAGGAUGUUUCUGGCGAGGUGCCUUCCGAGUUCCCUGGAACGGGACGCCAUAGAGGGUGAGAGCCCCGUACGGUUGGUCGCUAAGCCUCUGUGAAACUCCUUCGACGAGUCGAGUAGUUUGGGAAUGCUGCUCUAAAUGGGAGGUGUACGCCUUCUAAAGCUAAAUACAGGCUAGAGACCGAUAGCGCACAAGUAGAGUGAUCGAAAGAUGAAAAGCACUUUGAAAAGAGGGUUAAAAAGUACGUGAAAUUGUUGAAAGGGAAGCGCUCUUGACCAGACUUGCGCCGGUUGAUCAUCCACCGUUCUCGGUGGUGCACUCUGCCGGCUCAGGCCAGCAUCAGUUUGGCCCGGGGGAUAAAGGCUUCGGGAAUGUGGCUCUCUCCGGGGAGUGUUAUAGCCCGUUGCGUAAUACCCUGGGCUGGACUGAGGUUCGCGCAUCUGCAUGGAUGCUGGCGUAAUGGUCAUCAGUGACCCGUCUUGAAACACGGACC